GACGAACGCUGGCGGCGUGCUUAACACAUGCAAGUCGAACGGAAAGGCCCUGCUUUUGUGGGGUGCUCGAGUGGCGAACGGGUGAGUAACACGUGAGUAACCUGCCCUUGACUUUGGGAUAACUUCAGGAAACUGGGGCUAAUACCGGAUAGGAGCUCCUGCUGCAUGGUGGGGGUUGGAAAGUUUCGGCGGUUGGGGAUGGACUCGCGGCUUAUCAGCUUGUUGGUGGGGUAGUGGCUUACCAAGGCUUUGACGGGUAGCCGGCCUGAGAGGGUGACCGGCCACAUUGGGACUGAGAUACGGCCCAGACUCCUACGGGAGGCAGCAGUGGGGAAUAUUGCACAGUGGGCGGGAGCCUGAUGCAGCGACGCCGCGUGCGGGAUGACGGCCUUCGGGUUGUAAACCGCUUUCGCCUGUGACGAAGCGUGAGUGACGGUAAUGGGUAAAGAAGCACCGGCUAACUACGUG
This 468-nucleotide ribosomal RNA is filed under the name uncultured bacterium. Its description in RNAcentral is "partial 16S ribosomal RNA". It matches the Rfam family "Bacterial small subunit ribosomal RNA", at positions 28 to 507 of the family's 1533-position model. The record is from RNAcentral.